RNAcentral lists this ribosomal RNA (535 nucleotides) under uncultured Alphaproteobacteria bacterium. Its description in RNAcentral is "bacterial SSU rRNA". It matches the Rfam family "Bacterial small subunit ribosomal RNA", at positions 514 to 1050 of the family's 1533-position model. The record is from RNAcentral. Lineage: Bacteria; Pseudomonadati; Pseudomonadota; Alphaproteobacteria.
GCUGCGGUAAUACGAAGGGGGCGAGCGUUGUUCGGAAUUACUGGGCGUAAAGGGCGCGUAGGCGGUCUUUUAAGUUAGGCGUGAAAGCCCCGGGCUCAACCCGGGAACUGCGCUUAAGACUGGAAGACUAGAAAACGGAAGAGGGUAGUGGAAUUCCCAGUGUAGAGGUGAAAUUCGUAGAUAUUGGGAAGAACACCAGUGGCGAAAGCGGCUACCUGGUCCGAUUUUGACGCUGAGGCGCGAAAGCGUGGGGAGCAAACAGGAUUAGAUACCCUGGUAGUCCACGCCGUAAACGAUGUCUGCUAGAUGUCGGGGGGUUGCCCCUCGGUGUCGCCGCUAACGCAUUAAGCAGACCGCCUGGGAAGUACGGUCGCAAGAUUAAAACUCAAAUGAAUUGACGGGGGCCCGCACAAGCGGUGGAGCAUGUGGUUUAAUUCGAUGCAACGCGAAGAACCUUACCUACUCUUGACAUACUAGAAACUUUUCAGAGAUGAAUUGGUGCCUUCGGGAAUCUAGAUACAGGUGCUGCAUGGCU